This 203-nucleotide long non-coding RNA is filed under the name Nicotiana benthamiana. RNAcentral describes it as "long non-coding RNA (NBEN_LNC013967)". The record is from RNAcentral. Lineage: Eukaryota; Viridiplantae; Streptophyta; Magnoliopsida; Solanales; Solanaceae.
AAGUUUUGUUUGAGCAGCUAACCAAACAGUAAACCUGUGUCUAGGAAGAGCAGAUGAAGUAAGCAUUAAGUUCCUCCAUGCAGUCUUAGGAAACUUUGGCAGCAACGCAAUAUACAUUUUGUGAAUCUGAAAUUUUCCUAGCUUGCAUACACUCUGCAACCUGCUGAUAAUAUUACCUUGCAACUGAGUAUUCCCCAACACCA